UCUUAUGAUUGGCUUGUCCCGGUUGUGUUAGAGAUGUUAAUGUGAACGAUGAGACCGCUCUACACAUUGCGGUUAUGAAUGAUAGAUAUGAAGAACUCGAAGUACUCUGCGUCAUGUAGUUGCUGAAUCGCUAGAGACACAAGAACUGAACGGACGUGAUCAAAUGUUGAUUAUGAUCGUUGUUGUUGUUAACAUGGUUGUGUUUUUCUUGCGGUGGAAGCUGUCUACGAAGAAAAAACCUGAAUUCAGAAGCGACUUCAUCUUAAUUGAAGGCAUUAAGUAGUGUAGAACAAAUUAAAGAAGUGUAGUGAUGUGAGAUAUGUGAGUUUGGUAAUAAUACGA
Molecule: long non-coding RNA, 342 nt
Organism: Arabidopsis thaliana (thale cress)
Lineage: Eukaryota; Viridiplantae; Streptophyta; Magnoliopsida; Brassicales; Brassicaceae
Product: other RNA
Exons: 2
Source: RefSeq